Molecule: long non-coding RNA, 374 nt
Organism: Myotis davidii
Lineage: Eukaryota; Metazoa; Chordata; Mammalia; Chiroptera; Vespertilionidae
Exons: 2
Source: RefSeq, a predicted model, not a curated record
UCGCGACCCAGAGGUUGAGAACUGCUGGAUAGAUGAUUCAGUACUUCUUUAUAAGACCUUAUGGGACUUGAAAACAAAUUUGGAAAACAUUCCAGAAUGUAGUAUCCUUAAAUACCACUUCUACUUCUGCCUCAGAUCUGCAGAAUGAGGAUAUUUAUUAAAGCUGGGACAGUGAAACAAGGAACGGCCUACGACAGAAGCAACAGGAGAGACACUAUGCAAGGAAGUGAGCGUAGGCUGGGCUGCUUGGCUCACUAAGGAGUCAGAGAAAAGGGGCCUUGGUGACAGGGGCAGGGGGUUAGCCUGGGGCCAGCUGCUGCUGCCCAUGCUUACUUUGUGAAGUUUCUUACAUAAAUGUCAUACUGUUUUUGCUU